AAGUUCCUACGGGGCGCAGCAGUGGGGGAUAUUGGACAAUGGGGGAAACCCUGAUCCAGCGACGCCGCGUGAGUGAAGAAGUAUUUCGGUAUGUAAAGCUCUGUCAGCAGGGAAGAAAGAAAUGACGGUACCUGCAGAGGAAGCCACGGCUAACUACGUGCCAGCAGCCGCGGUAAUACGUAGGUGGCAAGCGUUGUUUGGAAUAACUGGGCGUAAAGGAUGCGUAGGCGGUUAAACAAGUUAUAUGUUAAAUAUAUAGGCUUAACCUGGAGAAAGCAUAUAAAACUGUUUAACUAGAGUGCAGG
RNAcentral lists this ribosomal RNA (305 nucleotides) under uncultured bacterium. RNAcentral describes it as "bacterial SSU rRNA". It matches the Rfam family "Bacterial small subunit ribosomal RNA", at positions 333 to 652 of the family's 1533-position model. The record is from RNAcentral.